RNAcentral lists this long non-coding RNA (528 nucleotides) under Ficedula albicollis (Collared flycatcher). RNAcentral's name for it is "lncRNA (ENSFALG00000026834.1)". Lineage: Eukaryota; Metazoa; Chordata; Aves; Passeriformes; Muscicapidae. The record is from RNAcentral.
GGGGGGGGGGGGGGGGGGGGGGGGGGGGGGGGGGGGGGGGGGGGGGGGGGGGGGGGGGGGGGGGGGGGGGGGGGGGGGGGGGGGGGGGGGGCGCGGCUCCGGCGGCCCCGCCAUCCCCGGCGCGGCCGGGCGGGCCCAGCCCGGGCCGGCACAGCCCUGUGCGGCCCGGCCCGCCCCGCUCCGCCCCGCGGGCCGGCGAUGGCAGCGGGUCACGGCACAUCCCUGCCCUGCAGUGCGCUCCCCGCGCUCCCCGGGCUCGGUGCUGCUGCCUUUAGGUGUGUGGGACAGCCUGCUGCCGGAACGGCGACGGGUUCGUGGGUGCGAUGGCCAGGGCCUUCCCUUUGGGGUGUUCCCCAAGGACACAGAUUGAGCACUGUGGACACGUGUGGUUUUGUGUAUUUUUGUAUAUCUUCGCGUUUAGAAAGGCAGUUUUCCUUAUGGACUGUACAUAUGAGAGUAUUAUAUAAGGAACCUGUGAGUGCUAUACAGCUGGCAGUUUGCAAGCUGAUUCUUAAUCCAAAAAGCUGA